RNAcentral lists this long non-coding RNA (656 nucleotides) under Populus trichocarpa (black cottonwood). Its description in RNAcentral is "long non-coding RNA (PTRI_LNC000388)". Lineage: Eukaryota; Viridiplantae; Streptophyta; Magnoliopsida; Malpighiales; Salicaceae. The record is from RNAcentral.
AAUCAGCACAGGUCCAAGCUGGACAAGGAACAGAGAUGAAUUAUCAUUUUCUGACGUGGAACUUCCAUGUGAUGCCUCUACUCUCCAUAAAUCUCCCCUUGCAACCAAAGAACUCUCAAUGUUGUGAGUUCUGCUGUCAUAAGUUGAGGUAAUGUUUAUGGUCCCCUGCAUUCAGUGGAAAUGCAUCAUCAAAUAAACUGCACAAAUGGAAUACAAUUAAAGCCAAAUUGAUAGCCUUCAAUUAUGAUCACAGAAAGGGCAGCUGUCAUAAGUUGAGGUAAUGUUUAUGGUCCCCUGCAUUCAGUGGAAAUGCAUCAUCAAAUAAACUGCACAAAUGGAAUACAAUUAAAGCCAAAUUGAUAGCCUUCAAUUAUGAUCACAGAAAGGGCAACAGGACAAGAAUACUACAGCAGGGAAACUUUUGCUGUCCAUCUGUACUCGAAAUUCUUUUGGCCAUAAAAAAAUUAAAGAGGGUAAAAAACUACAGACAAACAAAAUGAUUCAACUGAACCAAGCUCCAUGUUACUGCCCCCUUUACACUACUAUAUCAAACACAAUCAAGAUAAUUCAACUGAACUGACCUCCAGCCAAGAACAUAAGGUUACAUGUAAUCAUAACAUGUUAUUGCCCUUUUAUUAUUACCCCACCCAGUCUUU